ACGUUCAUGCCAACACAAAAGCAUAGCUAUGCAACGACGAAGAAUGUAGAAUUUUGCUCUUUGCUUCUUCACCAAAUGACUACACUUUUGGCCAAAAGAUUUGCAAGGAUCACAACCAUGUUCUUGUUGUUGCUGAAUAUUUUGGCUUGAGUUGGUUUCUUCCACUGCCAUGAAUUGAAUAAUGAGUUUAUGACACAAUUUGUGUAGUUUGUGUAAUGCUACUUAUUUUGGCACCAUAUAGAAG
RNAcentral lists this long non-coding RNA (244 nucleotides) under Lupinus angustifolius (narrow-leaved blue lupine). RNAcentral describes it as "long non-coding RNA (LANG_LNC001521)". The record is from RNAcentral. Lineage: Eukaryota; Viridiplantae; Streptophyta; Magnoliopsida; Fabales; Fabaceae.